RNAcentral lists this ribosomal RNA (275 nucleotides) under Pantoea eucalypti. Its description in RNAcentral is "partial 16S ribosomal RNA". It matches the Rfam family "Bacterial small subunit ribosomal RNA", at positions 1098 to 1372 of the family's 1533-position model. The record is from RNAcentral. Lineage: Bacteria; Pseudomonadati; Pseudomonadota; Gammaproteobacteria; Enterobacterales; Erwiniaceae.
GCAACCCUUAUCCUUUGUUGCCAGCGCGUCAUGGCGGGAACUCAAAGGAGACUGCCGGUGAUAAACCGGAGGAAGGUGGGGAUGACGUCAAGUCAUCAUGGCCCUUACGAGUAGGGCUACACACGUGCUACAAUGGCGCAUACAAAGAGAAGCGACCUCGCGAGAGCAAGCGGACCUCACAAAGUGCGUCGUAGUCCGGAUCGGAGUCUGCAACUCGACUCCGUGAAGUCGGAAUCGCUAGUAAUCGUGGAUCAGAAUGCCACGGUGAAUACGUU